Molecule: ribosomal RNA, 253 nt
Filed under: uncultured bacterium
Lineage: Bacteria
Description: partial 16S ribosomal RNA
Rfam family: Bacterial small subunit ribosomal RNA
Source: RNAcentral
UACGUAGGGGGCAAGCGUUAUCCGGAUUUACUGGGUGUAAAGGGAGCGCAGACGGCAGUGCAAGUCUGGAGUGAAAGCCCGGGGCCCAACCCCGGAACUGCUCUGGAAACUGUGCGGCUAGAGUACUGGAGGGGCAGGCGGAAUUCCUAGUGUAGCGGUGAAAUGCGUAGAUAUUAGGAGGAACACCAGUGGCGAAGGCGGCCUGCUGGAUAGUAACUGACGUUGAGGCUCGAAAGCGUGGGGAGCAAACAGG